GGGAAUUUUGCGCAAUGGGGGAAACCCUGACGCAGCAACGCCGCGUGGAGGAUGAAAUCCCCUGGGAUGUAAACUCCUUUCGAUCGGGAAGAUAAUGACGGUACCGAGAGAAGAAGCCCCGGCUAACUUCGUGCCAGCAGCCGCGGUAAUACGAGGGGGGCAAGCGUUGUUCGGAAUUAUUGGGCGUAAAGGGUGCGUAGGCGGUUUGAUAAGUCUGAUGUGAAAUCUCUGGGCUCAACCCAGAGUCUGCAUUAGAAACUGUCGGGCUUGAGUAUGGGAGAGGUGAGUGGAAUUUCCGGUGUAGCGGUGAAAUGCGUAGAUAUCGGAAGGAACACCUGUGGCGAAAGCGGCUCACUGGACCAUAACUGACGCUGAUGCACGAAAGCUAGGGGAGCAAAC
Molecule: ribosomal RNA, 399 nt
Filed under: uncultured bacterium
Lineage: Bacteria
Description: bacterial SSU rRNA
Rfam family: Bacterial small subunit ribosomal RNA
Source: RNAcentral